GACGAACGCUGGCGGCGUGCCUAAUACAUGCAAGUAGAACGCACAGUUUAUACCGUAGCUUGCUACACCAUAGACUGUGAGUUGCGAACGGGUGAGUAACGCGUAGGUAACCUGCCUGGUAGCGGGGGAUAACUAUUGGAAACGAUAGCUAAUACCGCAUAAUAUUGAUUAUUGCAUGAUAAUUAAUUGAAAGGUGCAAUUGCACCACUACCAGAUGGACCUGCGUUGUAUUAGCUAGUAGGUGAGGUAACGGCUCACCUAGGCGACGAUACAUAGCCGACCUGAGAGGGUGAUCGGCCACACUGGGACGGAGACACGGCCCAGACUCCUACGGGAGGCAGCAGUAGGGAAUCUUCGGCAAUGGACGAAAGUCUGACCGAGCAACGCCGCGUGAGUGAAGAAGGGUUUCGGAUCGGAAAGCUCUGUUGUAAGAGAAGAACGGGUGUGAGAGUGGAAAGUUCACACUGUGACGGUAUCUUACCAGAAAGGGACGGCUAACUACGUG
RNAcentral lists this ribosomal RNA (505 nucleotides) under uncultured bacterium. RNAcentral's name for it is "partial 16S ribosomal RNA". It matches the Rfam family "Bacterial small subunit ribosomal RNA", at positions 28 to 507 of the family's 1533-position model. The record is from RNAcentral.